UACGUAGGGAGCGAGCGUUGUCCGAAGUUACUGGGCGUAAAGCGCGCGUAGGCGGGUUUGAAAGUCGGAGGUGAAAUGCUGGGGCUCAACUCCAUGCAGUGCCUCCAAUACUUCAAGUCUUGAGUGCGGUAGGGAGAAGUGGAAUGGCUGGUGUAGCGGUGAAAUGCGUAGAUAUCGAUAGGAACUCCGGUGGCGAAGGCGGCAUACUGGACCACCUCUGACGCUGAGGCGCGAAAGCCAGGGGAGCAAACGGG
RNAcentral lists this ribosomal RNA (254 nucleotides) under uncultured bacterium. RNAcentral describes it as "partial 16S ribosomal RNA". It matches the Rfam family "Bacterial small subunit ribosomal RNA", at positions 524 to 776 of the family's 1533-position model. The record is from RNAcentral.